Molecule: small nucleolar RNA, 71 nt
Filed under: Macleaya cordata
Lineage: Eukaryota; Viridiplantae; Streptophyta; Magnoliopsida; Ranunculales; Papaveraceae
Description: Small nucleolar RNA snoR60
Rfam family: Small nucleolar RNA snoR60
About the family: snoR60 is a member of the C/D class of snoRNA which contain the C (UGAUGA) and D (CUGA) box motifs. Most of the members of the box C/D family function in directing site-specific 2'-O-methylation of substrate RNAs.
Source: Rfam by way of RNAcentral
AAGCAUGUGAUGAAUUACUCGGAUUCCCCUUCAGGACUUUUUGGAUGAUGCAGAUUCGAGUUUCUGAUGCU